GUGGGGAAUCUUGCGCAAUGGGCGAAAGCCUGACGCAGCCAUGCCGCGUGAAUGAUGAAGGUCUUAGGAUUGUAAAAUUCUUUCACCGGGGACGAUAAUGACGGUACCCGGAGAAGAAGCUCCGGCUAACUUCGUGCCAGCAGCCGCGGUAAUACGAAGGGGGCUAGCGUUGCUCGGAAUUACUGGGCGUAAAGGGCGCGUAGGCGGACAGCUUAGUCAGAGGUGAAAGCCCAGGGCUCAACCUUGGAAUUGCCUUUGAUACUGGCUGUCUUGAGUUUGGGAGAGGUGAGUGGAACUCCGAGUGUAGAGGUGAAAUUCGUAGAUAUUCGGAAGAACACCAGUGGCGAAGGCGACUCACUGGCCCAAUACUGACGCUGAGGCGCGAAAGCGUGGGGAGCAAACAGGAUUAGAUACCGGGUAGUCC
Molecule: ribosomal RNA, 424 nt
Filed under: uncultured bacterium
Lineage: Bacteria
Description: partial 16S ribosomal RNA
Rfam family: Bacterial small subunit ribosomal RNA
Source: RNAcentral